AUUUCAGUUUUGACUAAACGCUCUGGUAUUACAAGUGAGAUAAUACUAAGUUUUUGGUUAAGUACACAGAAGCUUCUUAGUGUUAUACCUUUACUGCCACUGGGAUACAAAAGGAGCACCUUUGCAGUCAACAAAUGGACAUUUUGAGCAUCUACUGAGUGCUUUUUUGAAUGGGUAGAGGCAGCUUCCCAUUUUACGUUAGUCUGAAGAUGCCCCUGAUUAGUAGUUUCCAUUUAGUUCCCACUUUCUGCCCAGCAGAUCGGCACACACCUCACCACCACCACCCCUGUCCUCAGUAACAGUCCUCUCAUUUCAGUUUCUUAUCCACUUCAGAGCCCUCAUUUUGGAGCCCUUGCUCCAAGAAGUAAGUGGCCUUCAUGCUUCAGCUACCCAAGGUCCCCUUGCCCUGUUUAUCCUUUUCCUUUCUGGCUCCUGCAGACCCUGGGGCAGGGUGACCUUAUUAAAGACUCUGUGAAACAAAGUUGUCUGUCUUCUCUUCAGAGACACCUCUCCCCUCCUCUACUGGUAAUUCAAAAAGGAACUUUCUCCUUAUCCACUCCUUCCAUCUCCCUGAAGAAAGGACGGGUUGGGGCAGUAAUACGUGGUCAUUGCUCGAGGUGAGCAGCCAGUUACCAUACAGUGAUUGGAUAGUGCCAAAUCUCAUCCCACCUCCCCACCUUGAACCAGCUGAUCUGGUUUCAGUGUUCUAUGCCUGGCUUCUCAGAUAGAGGAAGGUGGGCACUUAAAAAGUGCUCGUGACCCUCCCCUCUGUCUCUUUGCAACUUUGGCUUUGUUAUCGUCCUUCUUAUCAUUUUUCACUCCCAGCUCUGCUGUUUCCUUUCCUUCUAUUCUCUGGAAUCUUCCAAGCAAGCAGCUGUAACUUUGUAUGUCCUCUCCACCCAGCCCCCUCCCCCGCCCCCGUGGAAGAGGAGGAGAGAGCACCCUCUCCCUGUGGGGUUAGGCCUCGGUAGCUGUUGUAACCUGAGAAAAGAAGGAAAAAGGCCAGGCCUUUUGAGCCAGCAGUGAGCUCCUUGUGGCCUGCCAGAGGAUAAGAGCCUUGCUCACUCAGCGCCCUCCCUCUCUUCUUUCCCCUCCCCUGCUGCAGCAGGGCCCUCCCCCAUCCGCACACACGGGCUGCUGGGUAAGUGGCAAGAUGGCUCCCCUGCAUGUCUCCGGCUGAUCGCCGCCGCUCCGCCAAUACAAUAGAGCCAGCCACUACCAGCAGCCUGGCCCUCUUCCUCCUCCUUCUCCAGAGAGACCAAUCCAGCUGAAUUCGGGGUUUGCCAAAGGGAUAAACAGCACUUCCAGGGGGAGAAAAAAAAUCAUGUUAUCAGAAAGCAAAGAAGGUUGGAAUAAGGGAGUGGGAGAAACUGGGCGAAGGCUGAAUGUAAGAACAAUUCCUACACCUCUGAGCAGGUAAAAGUGGCCUGGUGCUUCUCUGAGCUUUCAUACUCUGUCUGGCAGUUCUUGUUUUUCCUUUUGGAUUAGAGGGGGUCCCUGUUGAAGCUUGAACCCUCACCAGCCUUCCUCUCCCUGCAGCCCUCACCCCCACCAUUUCUCCAUUCCUGGUGUCUGCAGACCCUGAGGGUCAGUAGGCUUUUACUUACUAAGCAGUUGAUUAAACCCAGGGUUGGGCUCAUCUGCCACAGCCCUGGCUGUUCUUUCUCCUCUUUUUAAGGAAUCAGGCUUCCCUUAGUUUCUCACGCAGUUUGGUUAAAUAAAGGUGUCUGGGCCCAGGUCUAGGGAGGCCAUGGGGUUGUGGGCAAAUCACAGUUACUUUUGAGGGACUUUGCAGAGAGGGAUGUUUCUCCUCUUCAUAUAGGGGUACUCUGGUGAAUUACCUAAGAACAUUGGAGCCCUGACCCCACACAUCACAGCUUUAUCCCAUCUGGGCAGUGAGUGAAUGUGGUUGCUGUGAUCUGUGCUCUUUCCCCUAGGAAAACCGUUUCCUGGUUUUCCUGGGGGGACAAGGUCUCUAGUCUGAUCUAAAAAAGCAGCCCUCCGAAAUCCCACCCAAGUGAUGAGGCAUGGGGGUUUCCUUGACCCAAAAUCUAACGUCUUGCUCUCUCUUCCCCUUGGUUCUUUCCUGCCCUUCCCUCCCAACCUCUCCCCAUAC
Mesoplodon densirostris (Blainville's beaked whale) is the source of this 2116-nucleotide long non-coding RNA. RefSeq lists it as uncharacterized. The transcript is spliced from 3 exons. The record is from RefSeq and is a predicted model, not a curated record. NCBI's taxonomy places the organism in Eukaryota, Metazoa, Chordata, Mammalia, Artiodactyla, Ziphiidae.